RNA transcript from Equus quagga, 1105 nucleotides. It is a transcript of the gene named tumor protein, translationally-controlled 1, with no coding region annotated. The transcript is spliced from 7 exons. Lineage: Eukaryota; Metazoa; Chordata; Mammalia; Perissodactyla; Equidae. The record is from RefSeq and is a predicted model, not a curated record.
UAUGAGGUUGGGGAGCGGCUGAGUCGGCCUUUUCCGCCCGCUCCCCCCUCCCCCCGAGCGCCGCUCCGGCAGCACCCCGCUCGCUCCGAGCUCCUGUUAAGUUGCGCCGCCGUCGUCUCCCUCCGGCCGUCACCAUGAUCAUCUACCGGGACCUUAUCAGCCAUGAUGAGAUGUUCUCCGACAUCUACAAGAUCCGGGAGAUCGCGGACGGGCUGUGCCUGGAGGUGGAGGGGAAGAUGGUCAGUAGGACAGAGGGUAACAUUGAUGACUCGCUCAUUGGUGGAAAUGCCUCCGCUGAAGGCCCCGAGGGCGAAGGUACCGAAAGCACAGUAAUCACUGGUGUUGAUAUUGUCAUGAACCAUCACUUGCAGGAAACCAGCUUCACAAAAGAAGCCUACAAGAAGUACAUCAAAGAUUACAUGAAAUCAAUCAAAGGCAAACUUGAAGAACAGAGACCAGAAAGAGUAAAACCUUUUAUGACAGGGGCUGCAGAACAAAUCAAGCACAUCCUUGCUAAUUUCAAAAACUACCAGUUCUUUAUUGGUGAAAACAUGAAUCCAGAUGGCAUGGUUGCUCUGCUGGACUACCGUGAGGAUGGUGUGACCCCGUAUAUGAUUUUCUUUAAGGAUGGUUUAGAAAUGGAGAAAUGUUAACAAAUUUGGCUAUUACUUUGGAUCUACACCUGUCAUAACUGGCUGCUGCUUUUCAUCCACACAACACCAGGACUUAGACAGAUGGGACUGAUGUCAUCUUGAGCUCUUCAUUUAUUUUGACCUUGAUUUAUUUGGAGCGGAGGCAUUGUUUUUAAGGAAAAAACAUGUCAUUGUUCCUGGAGAAGCUAGAGCCUGGUUGUAGACCACUACUAGAAAGCAUAAGACUGCCUUCAGAUCACUUCUACAGUGAAAACUACUUCCGGGACUGGAAUAUAAAAACCAAGAACCACAAGUCUUAAUUCUGAGUUGAAGUAAAGGGAAAGACCAUGCUCAUAGCAGUGCCAACAUUUGAAGUGGAUUCCUCAGACAUUUCAUCACCUCCAAACGGAAGUAGUUAACCCUGGAAGAGAUUACCAAAAGAAUAAAAAGAGACUAAUACAGUUGGAAGCAAA